CACUGCACCAGAUGGAGAUGGACCAGUAACUUACACAGUCUCAUCUCUCACUGCUGGGACUAAAUACACAUUCACUCUCUUCUCUGUGUUUGAGAACAUCAGAAGCAGUGGAGUCAUCAUCACUGCAGCUACUGCUCCUCAAAAUGCUGCAAACUUCACAUUAUCAG
Long non-coding RNA from Melanotaenia boesemani (Boeseman's rainbowfish), 167 nucleotides. RefSeq lists it as uncharacterized. Lineage: Eukaryota; Metazoa; Chordata; Actinopteri; Atheriniformes; Melanotaeniidae. The record is from RefSeq and is a predicted model, not a curated record. The transcript is spliced from 2 exons.